AUCGCAAGGACAUGUGGAGCGCUUAGAAGUGAGAAUGCCGGUGUGAGUAGCGAAAGACGGGUGAGAAUCCCGUCCACCGAUUGACUAAGGUUUCCAGAGGAAGGCUCGUCCGCUCUGGGUUAGUCGGGUCCUAAGCUGAGGCCGACAGGCGUAGGCGAUGGAUAACAGGUUGAUAUUCCUGUACCACCAUUAUUCGUUUUAAGCGAUGGGGGGACGCAGUAGGAUAGGCGAAGCGUGCUGUUGGAGUGCACGUCCAAGCAGUGAGAUUGAGUGUUAGGCAAAUCCGGCACUCUUAAGAUUGAGCUGUGAUGGGGAGAGGAACUUGUUCCUCGAGUCGUUGAUUUCACACUGCCGAGAAAAGCCUCUAGCUAGAAUAACGGUGCCCGUACCGCAAACCGACACAGGUAGUCAAGAUGAGAAUUCUAAGGUGAGCGAGCGAACUCUCGUUAAGGAACUCGGCAAAAUGACCCCGUAACUUCGGGAGAAGGGGUGCUCUUUGAGGUUCACGCUUCGAAGAGCCGCAGUGAAUAGGCCCAAGCGACUGUUUAUCAAAAACACAGGUCUCUGCUAAACCGUAAGGUGACGUAUAGGGGCUGACGCCUGCCCGGUGCUGGAAGGUUAAGAGGAGUGGUUAGCGCAAGCGAAGCUACGAAUCGAAGCCCCAGUAAACGGCGGCCGUAACUAUAACGGUCCUAAGGUAGCGAAAUUCCUUGUCGGGUAAGUUCCGACCCGCACGAAAGGCGUAACGAUUUGGGCACUGUCUCAACGAGAGACUCGGUGAAAUCAUAGUACCGGUGAAGAUGCCGGUUACCCGCGACAGGACGGAAAGACCCCGUGGAGCUUUACUGUAGCCUGAUAUUGAAAUUCGGUACAGUUUGUACAGGAUAGGUAGGAGCCUUAGAAGCGUGAGCGCUAGCUUACGUGGAGGCAUUGGUGGGAUACUACCCUAAUUGUAUUGGAUUUCUAACCCGCAGCACUUAUCGUGCUGGGAGACAGUGUCAGGCGGGCAGUUUGACUGGGGCGGUCGCCUCCUAAAGAGUAACGGAGGCGCUCAAAGGUUCCCUCAGAAUGGUUGGAAAUCAUUCAUAGAGUGUAAAGGCAUAAGGGAGCUUGACUGCGAGACCUACAAGUCGAGCAGGGUCGAAAGACGGACUUAGUGAUCCGGUGGUUCCGCAUGGAAGGGCCAUCGCUCAACGGAUAAAAGCUACCCCGGGGAUAACAGGCUUAUCUCCCCCAAGAGUUCACAUCGACGGGGAGGUUUGGCACCUCGAUGUCGGCUCAUCGCAUCCUGGGGCUGUAGUCGGUCCCAAGGGUUGGGCUGUUCGCCCAUUAAAGCGGUACGCGAGCUGGGUUCAGAACGUCGUGAGACAGUUCGGUCCCUAUCCGUCGUGGGCGUAGGAAAUUUGAGAGGAGCUGUCCUUAGU
Molecule: ribosomal RNA, 1424 nt
Filed under: Staphylococcus pseudintermedius
Lineage: Bacteria; Bacillati; Bacillota; Bacilli; Caryophanales; Staphylococcaceae
Description: partial 23S ribosomal RNA
Rfam family: Bacterial large subunit ribosomal RNA
Source: RNAcentral